Molecule: ribosomal RNA, 644 nt
Filed under: uncultured bacterium
Lineage: Bacteria
Description: bacterial SSU rRNA
Rfam family: Bacterial small subunit ribosomal RNA (bases 1-554)
Source: RNAcentral
CCUACGGGAGGCAGCAGUAGGGAAUCUUCCGCAAUGGACGAAAGUCUGACGGAGCAACGCCGCGUGAACGAUGAAGGCCUUCGGGUCGUAAAGUUCUGUUGUUAGGGAAGAACAAGUGCUAGUUGAAUAAGCUGGCACCUUGACGGUACCUAACCAGAAAGCCACGGCUAACUACGUGCCAGCAGCCGCGGUAAUACGUAGGUGGCAAGCGUUGUCCGGAAUUAUUGGGCGUAAAGCGCGCGCAGGCGGUUUCUUAAGUCUGAUGUGAAAGCCCCCGGCUCAACCGGGGAGGGUCAUUGGAAACUGGGAAACUUGAGUGCAGAAGAGGAAAGUGGAAUUCCAAGUGUAGCGGUGAAAUGCGUAGAGAUUUGGAGGAACACUAGUGGCGAAGGCGACUUUCUGGUCUGUAACUGACGCUGAGGCGCGAAAGCGUGGGGAGCAAACAGGAUUAGAUACCCUGGUAGUCCACGCUGUAAACGAUGAGUGNUAGUAGUUAGUAGGUUCCGGUCCGUUACGUGUCGUGUAAGUUAACGUACUAUUAAGUACACUCCGCCGUCGGGAGGUACGGUCGCGAGGACGUAGUAACGUACGAAAGUUAAAGUUAGUAGAGNGUGAGAGCGACGACGACGACGACGGAGGAGGAG